AGUGACUCUCUUCAGAGGUCAAAAGCCCUCCGACCCUACAGUGCAUGCAUACAGACACAUGCGAUGUGCAGAGAAACGCAAAACUACAAAACCCCAGGAAGACAAAAAGAGAAGUCUGUGUGGACUCAAUGUGGUUUAAUGCUAAAAAAGCAAACCCGCCAAAACAUGUGGUCACUGAUCGCACUAACGCGCUUUGGUGUAAAUCAUCUCGGCACAUCAGCAGCAGCUUCCAGAGCGACAGGACAGAUAUCAGAACCUUAAACUUUAAAAGAACAAAAAAAACAAACUGGUUUUACUUUUGCUUCAGGAUCCUCAAAACCCCCAGAAUUCAGUGAGAACUCAGCUAUGAGUUCAAUCGUCUGUUUUAACACAUUGUCACAGUGAGUCACAGGUCCCCAUAAAUAAUUAGAGUUAAUACGAUGCCACUUAAACUUGACACCUUUUGAUGUCAGUCAGCUCUUCACAGCCUCCUCAGGAGAGAAAGGCUCCCCUCCUCAGAGAGAGGAGGGGAGAAAGAGGAAUGCAAAGCAGAGAGUGCAGCCGCUUUGUGAUCGGCUGAUUCUCCCCCGUGACACAGCAGCCGGGGAGGAGGCGACUCCGGCUCCAUGGAAUCCCUGUUAACCCAACUCGAGGUGUGGACCAUCAUGUUCUCCAUCCUGGUUUUUGCGCUCUUCACACUCGCUGGGAUGAUCAGCGAGGACUGUCCGCAAACUGAAGAAACUACUGAGAGAACCCAGAGCCAGGAGCUGUUGGUGUGACUCAGCUGUUAAUGCUCAGCUUGUGAGAAAAGCUCAGUUUGUUCCUGUCCCAGAGUAACCUGCUUCCAGGAUGAGGCACAAAGGAGUGGCCAAAUUGUUCAACUAAAAAAAGCAAGAAAGAGACACCUGCUCCAACAAAGUUGCUCACGACAGCAUCGCCUGGCCGUUCGUCCUGUAGGAUGUCCAGAGACAGCACCGGGAGAUUCCUCUGUGAACUUUGAACCUGGAGAACAGCCUGUGUCUCUCCAAUCGGCAGCUGUGUAGAUGGAAGUGCCAUUCUCUGGCUUUGAGCUCACCUUCAUCAUCUUAGCCUUCGUCAUCUUCUCCCUGUUCAGUCUGGCUUCGGUCUGCAUCCAGAAAGAGGAAGGUCCAACAGAAGAUGCUGCAUAUGAAAACAAGAAGUUAAAACAACUAGUAAAGAAGAAGCAGAGAGAAAUCACCAAACAGGCUGGACAGAAGGCUUAAAGAUGGGAUCAGCUGGAGCUGAACUGGGACUGGAGAUCAACUUCCUGCUUCUCUGUGUUUUAUGUAGAAGUUAGCAAUUUGUCUUUGCCCAAUGAACUAUAAACUCCCCUCACUAAAGGACUAAAUAGACUUUUUUGAGAUUUAGGUCAUAUUAUUUUCUAAUCAAAAACAUACCUGGAGUGUUGCCUUGAUUCGCUCAUGGAUGUUUAAGAAAUCCUUUAAUCUCCCGUGGCAACCAUUGAGCUGGGCAAAACGUCUGUGUGGACCAAGCAAUGCCUCAUGGGAGUUGCAGUUUCUAAGUUUCUGCCUCACCCACUCAGCUCCUUCAGACUAGUGGCCCAAUGGACAAUGCAAGGCUAAAGGAACAUAAAUGACAGCAACACAGAAGAACAGUUCUUUGUGGAGCCUAAUUAAAGUGAACAACAACCAAUAAAGAGAGCAGGUGGGAAAAAACGGAAAUGUAUUAAUUUUGAGAAGGCAAAAAUAUACCCAAAAUUAUAUGUAGUUCAAUUUAUCAGCAAUGGAGGGAAUAGCAGUUCAAAGCAUUUGUCAAUGAAAAUUCAAAACUAUAAAAUAAAUCUUCGGAGUACUUACUACGCAAUUAAGAAAAUAAAAAAAAUUAUAAAUUUUCCAAGCAGCUGUUAUGUAAUUCAAAAAUUCUAAAUUAUAAAUGUUUGACAGUUUCGAACAGUCUCAAAUUUCACUUCAAAAAGUCUGUUCACGACUUUGUUUCAGAAUUAUUUGUGGUUUUAUUUGUUUUCAGCAUUCCUGUUGGUUCCCUGUACUUUUGAAAGUUCAGAUGUGUUUUCCCAGGACAAAAGGGAAUAAAGAAGAACAGCGUGGUAUUGGUUCAGUUA
This is a long non-coding RNA of Poecilia latipinna (sailfin molly), 2080 nucleotides long. RefSeq lists it as uncharacterized. The record is from RefSeq and is a predicted model, not a curated record. NCBI's taxonomy places the organism in Eukaryota, Metazoa, Chordata, Actinopteri, Cyprinodontiformes, Poeciliidae. The transcript has 6 exons.